This 247-nucleotide unclassified non-coding RNA is filed under the name Hevea brasiliensis (rubber tree). The record is from RNAcentral. Lineage: Eukaryota; Viridiplantae; Streptophyta; Magnoliopsida; Malpighiales; Euphorbiaceae.
GUUAGGUUGCUGAAGUUUCCUUUUGAGUUGUUAUAGCUUCUCUAAAUUUUAGUUGCCUAUUCUUGAAAAUGUCAUCCAAUCCAUUAGUUAGUACAGGAAUUAAACAGAAAUCUUAUGUGCAAUUGCCAUCUAGACAAAGUUGUCCUCAUUAUCUGUCCCGUAACUCAUUUAAUACUCACCAUAACUUACACACACACUCACACACACAAAACACAUCUGAUCUCUCAUGCAGAUUACCAUUUGCUCC